Molecule: transfer RNA, 85 nt
Filed under: Chrysochromulina sp. NIES-1333
Lineage: Eukaryota; Haptophyta; Prymnesiales; Chrysochromulinaceae
Description: tRNA-Leu
Rfam family: tRNA
About the family: Transfer RNA (tRNA) molecules are approximately 80 nucleotides in length. Their secondary structure includes four short double-helical elements and three loops (D, anti-codon, and T loops). Further hydrogen bonds mediate the characteristic L-shaped molecular structure. tRNAs have two regions of fundamental functional importance: the anti-codon, which is responsible for specific mRNA codon recognition, and the 3' end, to which the tRNAs corresponding amino acid is attached (by aminoacyl-tRNA synthetases). tRNAs cope with the degeneracy of the genetic code in two manners: having more than one tRNA (with a specific anti-codon) for a particular amino acid; and 'wobble' base-pairing, i.e. permitting non-standard base-pairing at the 3rd anti-codon position.
Source: RNAcentral
UUUUGAAAUUGGUGAAAUUGGUAAACACGUUUGAUUUAGGAUCAGGUGCUUUUUAUUAGCUUAAACGUUCAAAUCGUUUAUUUCA